GUAAAUAUCCGUAAUUUAGGGGAGGUUCUGUCAAAUUUUCGGCAGAAUCCUCGAGUCUAAUUUAAUUCUAGGCAGUCGACCUUAGGGUCUAAGUUUAGGAAAAAUUUUCGAAUGUCUAUUAAUUGUAUGUCUUUUGUUAUUAGAUAAUUCAGCCUUCCCGCCAGCUCCACCCGAGGCGUAGGAGCGGACUACGGAACGCGUUAGAUCUGUGAUAGUUAAAGACCUUCGCCAUCGCACAUUCGACAGUCCGACUUCUU
Long non-coding RNA from Ricinus communis (castor bean), 257 nucleotides. RefSeq lists it as uncharacterized. The transcript is spliced from 2 exons. The record is from RefSeq and is a predicted model, not a curated record. Lineage: Eukaryota; Viridiplantae; Streptophyta; Magnoliopsida; Malpighiales; Euphorbiaceae.